Vespula pensylvanica (western yellowjacket) is the source of this 945-nucleotide long non-coding RNA. RefSeq lists it as uncharacterized. NCBI's taxonomy places the organism in Eukaryota, Metazoa, Arthropoda, Insecta, Hymenoptera, Vespidae. The record is from RefSeq and is a predicted model, not a curated record. The transcript is spliced from 3 exons.
UUAUAAAAAAACUUGAUUGAAGUAAUCAAUUAAUCGCAUUAUAAAAACUUAGAAAUAGACAAAUAAAGAAAAAAAGAAAAAACGAAGAACGAAAUAUGGUACUUAUUACUUUCGUUACGGUCCUGGUUAAGUCGAUGGCCUGUAUGCACUCGAAUAGAAAAACACGCAUACGGAAGUAUAUAAGAAAUCCGUAGCACGAACUUCGGCGUUCCUUGAUAUUGAUAAAAGGAUUCCAGGAUAGUUUACUGGAUGAAGUUACGCAGUAAUAACCAGAGCCAAGCAGUUUAAAUUGGGCACUGCAACUGUUAAUCCGGCGAGUCUGGCCACCUGGAGUCGACAGCUACUUCAGAGAGACGUCAAAUUCAUAACCACUUGCGGUAUUACUAGCACCAACAGAUCUAAUUCUACAACAAUGUAUGGAGAAAAGUAAUAAAACUGACGUCUGAUUGGUUAAAAUAUAGGAAGACUGUUUUUAAUCUAAUUGAAAUGCAGAUGUGUAUUGCAUGUGGUGGAUAUUAUAGUCAAAAGCUCUGUUGUAUAUCGUUAAGUAGGUAAUAUACAUUUCUUUUUCCAUGUAAUCUUAUUUCCUUUUUUAAUAAUGUAAUUGGAAUGGGUGUAUAUGGUAGGCGAGGUGUUGCCGGUAUGAGAAAUGCUUAUUUGAAAUACCAUUGAACUAGAAAGGGGUGAUAAACUUUAUUUUAUAUUUGAUUAGCCUAAAAUUGACGCUUAUCCUAAGCUAAACAUUUAUUAAAAUUUCACUCGAUUCUUCUUGUAUCAUUUCUCCAUAACGUUCAGUUGAUAAAGUAUUUUCGUUUAACAAUAAGUUAUUCAUUGUUUAUUGGAAUUAAAUAAUAUGAUCGAAAUAUGUUUUCGAAUAAGAAGAAUAAUGUGACAUAUCAUAAUAAAUCGUAAUCAUUUAAUAUAUAUAUAUAUAUAUAUAUAUAU